GCAGCAGGCGCGCAAAUUACCCACUCUCAAAACGAGGAGGUAGUGAAGAGAAAUAACGAUGUUAGUCUUUUAUAGGCUGACAAUCGGAAUGGGAACACUGUAAACAGGUUAUCGAUUAACAAUUGGAGGGCAAGUCUGGUGCCAGCAGCCGCGGUAAUUCCAGCUCCAAUAAGGAAAACUAAAGUUGCUGUGUUUAAAAAGCUCGUAGUUGAAUUUCGGGUAUUUGUUGCUAGCUGGUCUAACUGGCCAUGUUGGUUAACAGAUCCUCAUUUGCUGGACGGCUGGCGAUGAUCUUCAUCGAUUGUCGUCAGUUGCCAGCACGUUUACUUUGAGAAAAUUAGAGUGCUAAAAGCAGGCUCACGCCUAUAUAUAUUGCAUGGAAUAAUGAAAUAAGAUCUCGAUUUUAUUUCGUUGGUUUUAGUAAAUUGAGAUAAUGAUUAAUAGGAUCAGAGGGG
This 455-nucleotide ribosomal RNA is filed under the name uncultured eukaryote. RNAcentral describes it as "SSU rRNA". It matches the Rfam family "Eukaryotic small subunit ribosomal RNA", at positions 425 to 886 of the family's 1831-position model. The record is from RNAcentral.